GAUAACUGCACCGCCGGUCAGGCUCGCGCCAACCAAAGCGGGGUUGUUAACGGGGUGGUCAGAAUGGUUCUACCAGUUUGCACAGGAAGACGUUACUUAAGGCUGCUUUCCAAAGCAGUGAAAAAAUAAGUCAGAACAGCUGUGCUGAUGGCUGGGACUCUCUCAGGACAGCUUGGAAGGCCCGACCUGGCAGCUCUCUGGGCCCACCGGAGCUCUCCUGCCUUGUCUUGUACCUGCCUCUCUGUGCUCCAGCCACACUGCCAUCUCUCCGUUUCUCAAAUGCUACGUAAAGCCGCAUUCUCUUCCCACAGAUAGAAAAUGCUGUGCUCGCCCUUGAAAAGCCUCUCUCUCCAAUGAAUUCCCACUCAUUCCUCAAUUUUCAGUUGAAGCAUCAUUCAUUCCUUUGGGAAACCUUUUCUAGCCCCUAACACCCUGCAUUGGUCCUAACAUACCUUGGCAUGACUGCUGUAGCUCUGUAUCUGCGUGGGUACUGACGGAUGUGACUCCAGGAGGGAGGGUGUGCAGCCUGUGGCUCACCACGGUAUCCCCAGCACCUGUCUCUCUGCUUGCCUAUUAACUUCCUAAAUUAGUGCAUUUUCCCCUGUCAUUUAAAAAAAAACUUUAAUUUUUUCAUUUGUAUAUAUCGACAGAGCACAAGUACAGAUUUCUUGCAUGCCUAUGUUGUAUUGUGGUAAAGUCUGGGCUUCUAUGUGUACCCAUCACUCAAAUAGUAAACAUUGUGCCUGAGAGGUAAUUUUUCAGCCCUCACCCCCCUCCACUCUCCCACCUUUUGGAGUCUCCAAUGUCUAUUAUUCCACUCCAUAUGUCCACAUGUACCCAUUGUUUAGCUCCCACUUGUGAGUGAGAACAUGCGGUAUUUGACCUCCUCUUUCUGAGUUAUUUCACUUAGGAUAGUGGCUCCCAGUUCCAUCUAUGUUGCUGCAAAAAAACAUGAUUUCAGUCUUUUUUAUGCCUGCAUGGUAUUUCCAUGGUGUACAUGUACCAUAUUUUUUUUAAUCCAAUCCUCCUUUGAUGGACACUUAGGCUGACUCCAUAUUUUUGCUAUUGUGUAUAGUGCCACGAUCAACAUACAAGUGCAGGUG
RNAcentral lists this long non-coding RNA (1103 nucleotides) under Homo sapiens (human). RNAcentral's name for it is "HSALNT0137063". The record is from RNAcentral. Lineage: Eukaryota; Metazoa; Chordata; Mammalia; Primates; Hominidae.